CCUGCUACAUCUCAAUUUGUGUAUCUGUUUUGGUAUCUCUUGCACUGUGUAUCUGUUUUCUUGUAUGAGUGGGUAUCUCAUUUUAACUAGUUGGAGAACAAAAAGCAUGGUACUAGCUAGCUCAAUUUGUGUUAUCAUUCUAAAUAAAUGUCAUUUUCUUGAAUGGCCUGUUCAUAAUAUAUUUUCAUGUCAAGUUUCGCCAGCGCGAGGUAUGCGACCGAGGUGGCUGCUGCUGUGACCGAAGAUCAGAAGAAGCUUGGAGAUGUGCACAAUAGUUUUGGUGCCUCUGUAUUUGUUUCUGAUUUGUAUGUACACUUGAUGGAUCAUGCAAAUGUGUUGUUCUGAGUUUCAUAGAGUGAUUUUUGGAUUUGAUCAUUUAAUUGUGAGAAUUAUUGAUUGUUUGCUGUUGAAAUGUGUAAAAUUGAAAUCUGUGAAUGAAAAAGGCUGAAUGUUCGUCUAUUGGAUCGAAUAAUAUUUGUGCUCUAAAAAGGCUAUGGCCCAAACAAUAGUGGACUGGAAUAUUGUGCUUUUAUGAAAAACAAAAACAAAAGGCUGAAUGAAACGGAAUGCAAAAUGGCCUAAGCCCAGAAAAUAAAAAGGCUGAAUUGUAGGGCUUGGCCCAUGAAUCUGACCAAAAAUUGAUAGAAAAAAACACAAAUAGGUUGAAUUAUUGGGCUCGGCCCAUGUAAAACACCUAAUCGGACCGGGCUGAAUCUUGUGCCACAUCAGAUUGCCACGCUGGAUGCCUACGUGGCCUGGGGAGGUUGCUAGUGACCAAAACGCCAUAGUAGACGUAUUUUGGUCGUAAAUGUUUAUGACCAUUCCAGAAGAAAGGUCGCUAAUGUCAGUUUAUGACGGCCAGCUAUUGACCUUAUGAUUUUGGUCACAAAAAGGUCACAAAUGGAAAUUUGUGACCAUUCAGUGACCAAUAGUGGUGGUCACAAGUUGACAUAUUUCUUGUAGUGACAUUACCGUACAAGUAGCACUACAUAUGAAAGCACACUGCAGAAUCAUGUGAAAGAAGGCUAGUACUGACCUGUCAUGACACAGAAUUCAAACAACUCACAAGAAGAAGAUCUGAACCAAAUUUGCCAACACGGAUAGGAAGUAUGAUCUUCUCUUGUGCAGUUCCACUAAGAUCAAGCAAUCAAGCAAUGUUGUUGGUGUGGCAUUUUGGUUGAACUGCACAAAACACUCUUAAAACAAAAGUGUUUUAUGCAGUGCAACAAAAGGUCACAAUGCCAACGAGGUGAAGUAGAUAACCCUGUUUACACAGAGGUGCAAAGGAAACAACUAUUGGUCAAUAACGGUGGAUGACACAGAAGCCAACAAAAAGAAGCAUCUACCUUAUCUAAAUGGGAAAGAAAGCAAGACAGUAGCAUUUCUCAAACGGUGGCAUUGGUUAAUAUUAACAGAGAGAUUAUAUUAAUAAUAAAAUUCGUUAAACAUGUAAUUUGCUUUGAACUGUAGCAUUGCAUCAAUUUUCCAGCGCCAUUAUUAGAGGGUGUUUGUGUACAGGGACAUUUUGGUGGAGGGUCUAAAAAAACUCCAUGUCAGUCCCAUCUAAACCAAACAGGAGGGACUUUUAGGGACUAAAAGUGGGCAUUUGGGACUAAAGAAAGAAGACCCUGCCACGCAUCGCACCUUGUCUCUAUUAGUUCAUUACUAGGGGUAACAUGGUCUUUUAGCAUGUCAUUUAAUAACCUCUACUCCAUGUUUAGUCCCUGGAACCAGGCAGGUAGGGACUUGGGAGUUUUUAACCAAACAGGGCCUUAGAUUAACAGCAGCUAAAGAGUUGCACGGGACAGUGGACGCACCAGCACCAUGUGCAUCUACCGAUGUACUGGGGUGAUGCACAGUCUGUUGCAACCAAGAACAAACAACCAAAUAGCAUAUCUGUGUUGGUCCCAGUUUUGUUAUCUUUAGACACCUUUCCCUAUGUGAGUGCAGCAAAUCUAGUCCUGCUCGAACUCUAUAGCCUUGUCCCCAAAAACAAAACAAAAGAUCAAUUUGUUACAGAUGUGCGUACUGCAUUUGUCAUUGUUUUCCCUUUUCGACCAACGUAGGUGCUGGAUAGCCAAUCUGUACUAGUACUUUCCCCCUUCCUUUCCUCUUUGAACCAUGUCCUAGAUUUAUGCUAUACAGCUUUCCCCACUACUUUCCCCCAUUCCUUUCCUCUUUAAACCACGUCUUAGAUUCAUGCGAUACAACUUUCCCCCUUCCUUUCCUUUUUGAACCAUGUCCUAGAUUCAUGCUAUACAAUUUUUCCCACUACUUUUCCCCAUUCCUUUCCUCUUUCAACCAUGUCCUAGAUUCAUGGUAUACAACUUUCGCCACUACUUUCCUGUUUGAUCAAACACCUAGAUUCAAGUGCAGAAGUGGAAAAAGCCCACAUGCAGCUAGAGCAAUGCAUGUGGAAUAAGUAAAUUAUACCUUAAGGUUCUUGGGGUGUGGUUCGGUGGGCGACUGGAGGCCGUUCGGCCCACACUAUGUACGACACCACUGGGUGAAAGUGAACAGCUACGCCGGUAGUGGAUUCCCUCCCUCGCCGACGGCGACAGCGUUAAGCCUCCUUCCCUUGCCCGCGGACAGAUCCUGCCGACUCUUUGACCAGCAGUGAGGGGAGAGAGAGAGCCUAACGAAGUCUUAUUUAGAUAUAGAGAGGGUGAGAGAGUGUGAAGAGAGCAACUACAAGCAGACCAGUAGUGAGGGGAGAGAGAUGCCAACGAAGUCUUGUUUAGAUCUGGAGAGGGUGAGAGAGUGUGAAGAGAGCAACUACAAGCACUAAGGCUCUAGCGUGUAUAUAUAUACUCGAGAGAGAGUGAAGAGUGCAAACCCUAGAAAACAAGCGCCGAGGCUGCAGCUGAUCAUAUAGCUCCGUAUCCAUCCAUUUUGAGCAGUCAAAGAAUCCUCCUGGCACGAAUUAUGCUGAAGUGUAGUUAUCGAACCCGAGACCUAAAGUUUGAUGAGCGAACAGGCUAACCAACUACACAACCCGCCCGUUAUGUUCAACGAGAGGAAAAUAACCUUUUAUACAUUCAUGCAUUCGUGUGACAAGCAUGUCGUGUUUUUGUGUGGGAGUCAUUGGGAUUUAAAUCAUAAUCGUGUCAUGCGGCUUUGGUGUUAAGACUAUCCACAGUGGUGCAGAAAUAAUGCAGCCUUAGUCACCUUACCUCUCUCCACGUAGUACGUUGGGUCCCACCAGUCAGAGGGUGAAACUAACAAAUUAAUAAGAAAAAUUAAAAGCGCCAACGGUGUAUCUUACCUCACACAUCUCGCUACUGCUCGGGAACACUGUCCAAUUGAUCCCUCUGUUCGCUCACAUACUAUUUUAAGUGAAUCCUUAUUAUAACAUGCACACAAUUUUGGGCACUUGUAUUCGACCUAAGUCAGUGUGCCACCGUAUCUCGUACGACUCCCUCCGUCUAGGUGUAAUAAGUCACGUUAGAAGGUGUGGCGGGACCAAGGUGCAAGCAGAUUGGAGGACAAGGAGAAACUUGACCGGUCAUUCCUCCAAUCAAAGCCCUGAUUUCUGUCUCUAAACGCAACAAUUAAUCUAAAUAACUAAGAGAUGCCAUUUUAGCUACCAUGCAGGGCCACGUAUUAACUCGCAUGCAAGCCAACAUUGAUUUCUUGACUGAUCAAAGCGAGGUUGCGCUCCAUGCAUUGGAUUUCCAGGGGAGAAAACAAGGCAGAGUAAGGAGGGUUGGUUACAUUGCUUAGGCUGGUCAUAGUGGUGAGUAACUUGGACUACUAACAUGCAUAUGUUACUAGUCUAUGUUACUACUAUGCGAAGUUUGCCGUCGGAAGCGAGCCGAUCUGGCUCUCCUGAGCUAGCAAGGUUUUUCUAGCCCACCCAAGCUAGCUGGCCCACAAAAGCUAACAUAUUUUAAUAGUUCCAAACGCCUAACCUUGCCCGGCUAUGCUAUAAGCUGUUCUUGCUAAGGAUCCAAACGCUCCCUAAGUAACAAUGCUCGCUAGCAAUGAGGCCAGGAGGGGAUUGAGAUGCGAAGUUAAUGGACGGCGCCUAAACAUUUUCGGAAUAUCUAAUUUCCGUAAGAUGACUUAACACCUAGACGAAGGGAGUACUACUCCUCAGUCCAGGUUUGAUGGAAUAUUCGUCACCUCUUCGCUUCUUGUAUGCACUCCAUUUGUAUCUCACUUCCCGUGGCUUCGGACAUGCACGAUUUUCCUAUUCUAUGAACUUGUGUGUGCGUGCGCGCGCGCGCACGCGUGUGUGUGGGUGUAUGUGUGUGUUUAACAACAUGUGUGUGUUAGAGAGAGUGACAGAUCGACCUACUCCUAUAGAGAGAUGGUGUGUAGUGUACGAUUUUAGCCGUGAGAGUCGGUGCAUCCUCUCGUUUUCGGGCGUCCGAUAGAGAGACAGGCGGACAGCUGCCACGCCCGAUCCUGACCAGCCUAGCCCACCCAAAGCCCCUCCAUCGCCCACACGCGCUUCCCGCCCGAAACGGCCAGCACCGCUCCAUAGAAUCGGUGCCACAUUCAUGCCCGGGCAGAGCGGACGCGACAUCUCACUGGCGCCUGCGUUGAAGGGAGAAGCGGAUUCAAGAGUGAUGGUUGCUUCGUCCAUCCAACUUACUGCUGGGUCUAUAUGAUUUGACGGCUCAUUGGUCAUUAUUACUGAGGUGGGAGGACUGCUGGAUGUCCCACACUUUCUGCAAAAGGAGGUACUACUAGAUUACAAUUUUCUCCAUUCUUACGGCGGAGGAGUGCAAGAGCAGUGAAAACACGCAGGCUCAGUGAUUACAUGGCCCACCUCACACUAUCACCAUAUUUUCUGGACACCGUGCGACACCUAACUCUUUACAUAGUACUCCCUCAGUUCCUAAAUAUAUAAGUCUUUGUAGAGAUUCCACUAGGUGGACUACAUACAGAACAAAACGAAUGAAUCUACACUUAAAAUGCAUCUAUAUACAUCCUUAUGUGGUUCAUGGUGAAAUCUCUACAAAGACUUAUAUUUAGGAACGGAGGAAGUACUAGUAUAGUACGCUGUAAUUUAUCAGCGAGAUAGUACAAUGCUAUGAAGCUUCCAGCUUCUGUUACAUGUAUCUUGCGUCCAAGGUUGCCCAUUGCAACAUUUCAUCAAAUACAAAGGAGACUAACAUGCAUGCUAUUGCAUCUCAAUGAUUGACAGAUCAUAGCAAAUAUGUACUCCCUCCGUUCCAAAAUAAGUGUCUCAACUUUAUGCAGGGGUGUUUGUUUCCAGGGACCUUUUAGCUUAGGGACUUUUUAACCAAACAGGAGGGACUACUAGGGACUAAAACUUGCUUUUUGGGACUUAAUGAAGAAGACUCUCAAGGAGAGUCUUUUUUGGGACUUUUCCAACAAUGCCCCUCCCUGCACCUAUUGCCCCGCUGCCCCAUGGUGUUGUUUGGUUGUUAUUUUUCUAUAUACUGGGGGUAACAUGGUCAUUCAAUAACCUCUAGGGAGGGACUAGGGACUUUUUAGUCCUUGAAAACAAACAGGGAGGGACUUUUUAGUUGGGACUAGAAAAAGUCCUAGGACUUAUGAACCAAACAGGGCCUCAAUAUGGACUACAUACGAAGCAAAAUGAGUGAAUCUACACUCUAAAAUACGUCUAUAUACAUCAGUGUUUGGAGUAUGUACUAGUAGUUCAUAUUGAAAUCUACUAAAGGACAUAUAUAUUCCAAACAAUAUCAUAAUCUCUCUAACCAAUGUAGUAGGGACGAGAAGUAAAUGGAGGGAGUAGUAAAUUUUUCUCCUCGUUCUAUGAGCCACCAUGCGCGUGGGCGAGGGAGCGGGCGUAAGGUGUAUAGUACUACUACUAGUAAGCAAGCUUCACCUCAUCCUGCGAGCCACCGCGCCCGUGGGCGGGGGAGAUGGUGCACUAAGCAAGCUUCUCCUCGUUCUGUGAGUUGACGGACACAUCAAAAGUACUCCAGUGUAUAGAGCCUUGCCUCUAAGGUAGGCCCCACAUGGUUUGCCUCUUUUUUAACAUAACGCGUCAAGUCACAAUUUGUUUGUUCACCCAUGGUAGACGAUCCUCCCUCCAUCUAGUGGACAACUAGUACACGUGUCAAAUUACCACGUGGGCUACCUUUUCGUACAGAAGUGAGCUCCACCGUGUACCCGCGUGGGUGUGGUUGGGAAAGAGACGGGAGUACGUGCGCCGUGCGUGCACCUCUUCUCUUCGUGCACAUCCCCCACCUACGUGGGUGUGUGUAAGAGAUACAAACCUAGACAAAUGGCUUGUGCGUUCAUGAGUGUUUUUUGUUUGGGGGGGUUGAUUUUGUGAAUGUAUUUGUGGGAAUAUGUGUCGAUGACAUCUCCAAAAAAAUUUUGCAUGCAAUGUGUGUGAAAUUAAGGCCUAUCCAUAUCAUAUAUAGAGGGCCGGGCGAUCCACGAGAAGAGAGGGAGGGGUCAUAGAUAUCGAUAGAGUCGAAGAGAGGAUCAAGUGGGUGGGUGCGAGAUCGAUGAAGAGAGCCAUCGAAAUUGUGUGUGUGUGUGUGUGCAAGUCAAAGAUAUAAGGCAACUGACCUACCGGAACGUCAGAGGGCACAUGUCAAGUUUGUGUGUGGCAGGGAGACAUGACUAGAGCGCUCGAUGUAUUGGUGUGUGUGGGGGGAGGGGUGGGGGAGGGGUAGGAAGAGGCCUAACUAUAGAAGUAGAACGACUGGUGUAUGUGUUGAGAAGGAGAGACCCAACUAUGUCUUGAGGGAGAUCGGACGACAUCCUUACAUAACUGAAGGACGGGAAAUAGGAUGGGACAAAAAUAGAGAGGAGAGAGAGAGGAAAGGAGAGGGGUAGUGUGCUGGAUGGGUGAUGGAGUUUCUUCUCGAAUAUGGUGGGAGAGGCCUACUAGACAAACUGAGAGUGGAACUGCAAUAUUAUCAAUAAGAGUGGGGAUGUGUUUCUGUGUGUGCCUGUGCGUGAUAGAUCUGUCGGGACGCAUCCAUGGAUGAUGAAGGGGAACCAUGUGUUUGGUAAGCAAACCUAACUAGAUCGGUAGAUCAAUUGUUGUUUGUCGGAGGAAGGGAGAGACAUAUCUAAUGAGGUAGAUCGAUCGACGUGUGGGGAAUAACGAGUUAUAAGGACCUAGCUAGCUAUAUGUAUAGCGGGAGAUCGGUCGGUGUACGUCCAUUUGUUAGAGGCAAAUAAGGCCCGACGAGACGGACAGACAGAGAAUGUAGCUAGCAGGUGGUGUGAGAGGUCCAGCUACUAGCUAGAUAGGGGGAGGAGUGUGCGGUUGUGAGAUCGACGAAAAUAGGGGCGAGAGUUUACACGUGUGUGGGACUGUAUGAGAGACACGAGGCAAGGACACAUAAAGGAGGAGAUUGAUGGUGCGUGUGUAUGUUGUAGGCAAACAUCGCUGGAGAGGUUUAUCGAUCAGUGUGUGUCAGAAAGGAGUUGUGGAGACUGUGGGAGAACGACCUAAAAAAUGAAUGUGCGUGAUGGAUAGAAUGUUGAGGGAGGGGGGCGGCGAGGAGGGCGUGUGCAUGCAUGAGAGAAAGUUAGUGGUAGCUACAAAGGUUAGAGGAUUGUGUGGGUGUAAGAGACUAACAAAGAUCAUAAUUUGAUAUGAAAGUGGAUUCAUAUAUUUGAAUAGGAGAUCAUAGUGUUUUAAACAUAUGCAUGCAUGAAUAUAGCGGUGAUACGCGUGUUGUGGUUUUGCACAUGUUAUACCAUAAUGUGAUAAUGCAUGCCAUUUGCAACUCACAGCUAAAUAUUGAACAAUCUAAACCAUACUAUACAUCGAACAAUCUCACAUGUUAUUGGAAUUUGUGAUAAUGUGUGGCGUUUGCAGCUUACAACUAAAUAUCGAACAAUCUAAACAAUACUAUAUAUCGAACAUUCUCACAUUUUAUUUGAAUUUGUGGUAAUGUGUGGUGUUUGCGCCUCACAUCUAAAUACUUGUAGGCGUAAGGGGCAGGGCACCAUACAUAAUGUGAUAAACACAUUAUACAUAUGAGACAUGGUUUAGAUUAUGAAGAUCUAGCUAGAGCUUGAAAUGUACUAUGAUUUGAAAUCAACAUAAAGUGGAUUCAAAAAAUUGAGUUCGAGUUCAUAUAGUACACAUAGUUCAUAUGUAACUUGAGACUAAUCAUGUGGUGUGCUGUGAAGAUAAUACACAAACGAUGGUUUAACUUGACAAUAAUGAUGAUUGUAGAUCUUAUUAAAAUAGAGAAACGAAUUCAAAUGCUUUGACUUCACCACAAUCAUUAUUGUAGAUCUUAUUCAAAUAGAGAAACGAAUUCAAAUUUAGUUCAUAUUGAAGCUGUAGUAUAUACGUUUGGAAUGCACUAAAACGUUCAUUUGAGUAGUAGGUUACAUGCAUUAUACAUGUAGCGAAAUAUUUUAAUUGAACAUAACAUGAAUUCAAAGUUUGGAAUGACAUUUGUAGUUCGAAUUGAUUUGGUACAGUACACGUUAGGCUUGCCCGGGAAUUUGAACCCGCGCCUUGGUAGCCCGAAAUAUUUAAGAUAUAUCUUUGUCUCGUUGUGCUCCGACAACACCCUCCAUAUCAACCCGCGCCUUGCUAUUCCAAAAUUACAACGCGCGCAAAAACUCCCACCUCCUGUGAAAUCCCGACACGCAAAAUGCCCGUGAUACCCCUGAACCAAAAGAAAGGCCUCAAAUCGGUGGCUGUUCUUUCGUAACUUACCCCACAGUUCGGCCAAGCGCAUCCCUAAGCCAUGGUUCCCCACUCCCAUUCCAUCCGUCCUCCCAUUCGUACACAGAGGCCGGGAAAACCCGCGAAGCGCCAUACCCUCCUCCAUCCGCCACCCAGCCUGAGCCUCUUCCCCGACAACAUCGUCCAUAGCAACACCUCGACGUGUCUCAUCCACCAUACCGGAUGAGGAUCCAUCGUCGAUCUGGUCGUCCUGUCGGUUUAGCCACCCCGUCCUCCACCUCCAAGGAUCUGCCCCGACAUUCCCCUCGUCUUUCGCACCUCCUCCAUUCCCACACCGCCGUCUUCACCUGCACCACCGGAAGAGCAUCAUCAUCACCAUUUCCUCGGAUGAAUUUGCGGCCUAAUCGGCGCUGUCGGUGUCAAAACCGGCGGAUCUCGGGUAGGGGGUCCCGAACUGUGCGUCCAAGGUCGAUGGUAAUAGGAGACAAGGGUCACGAUGUUUAUCCAGGUUCGGGCCCUCUCUAUGGAGGUAAUACCCUACGUCCUACUUGAUUGAUAUUGAUGAAUAUGAGUAUUACAAGAGUUGAUCUACCUCGAGAUCGUAAUGGCUAAAACCCUAGAGUUCUAGCUUGUAUGACUAUGAUAAUGAGUCCCCUAUCCGGACUAAGUCCUCCGGUUUAUAUAGACACCGGGAGGAUCUAGGGUUACAUAAAGUUGGUUUCAAAGAAAGUAAUCUACAUAUCUGGUCGCCAAGAUUGCCUUCCACGCCAAGGAGAGUUCUAUCCGGACACGGGUGCAGUCUCCGGUCUUCGUAUCUUCAUACCCCAUAAGUCCGGCCCAUGGCUAACAGGCCGGACACCCGAGGACCCCUUAGUCCAGGACUCCCUCAGUAGCCCGUGAACCUGGCUUCAAUGACAAGGUAUCCGGCGCAUAGUGCUGUCUUCGGCAUUGCAAGGCAGGUUCCUCCUUCCGAACUCCAAAAUAGUCUUCGGACAAAUUGAUCAUGUCCGGACCUGUAACACACAGCCGUAGAGAGUAUAGUAUUCUACGAAUCCAAUCUACUGACAACUUUUAGUAAUGUGAAGUCACGCUUCUCGGUCAUUACUUCGAACCGUUUCCCAGCCCGCCGUUCCAUGUUUCAGGGCGUGGUUGUCAUUGACACGUCUUGUCGAAGUAGAGAUCGUGUCCCCUAAUUGUGGGAUUUUCAUCAAUGCGAACAUGGGUAACCCAACCGUCCUGCAGGAAAGAUUCUUUAGGAAUAGGCAGGUUCUUAGGCUUAGGAGGAGGUGUUCAAUACCCGCUGCCUUUAUAAAGGAACCAAGGGUCGUCUUUUAUGCCAAACCUCUCCUCAACCUUCCCAACCUCGAGUUCUAGCACCCAAGGUUUGACUUCAUCGUUUCAAGCCUCCCCAUCAUGUCUGGACCCAGCUCCCAAGGCCGAUGGGUGGCUUCCUCCGUUACGGAGGAGGACAUCGCAAAGCUUUGGGCGGCCAGAUAUUUGACUGUGGAGGUCCACCACAGGCUUCCUGCUCAAGGACAGGUUAUUCCAACCCCCAGAUCUGGUGAGAGGGUCGUAUUCAUCUCCCACUUCCUCCAGGGGUUAGGGUUCACUCUUCAUCCCUUCGUCCGGGGGCUAAUGUUUUUAUUACGGACUAGAUUUUCAUGACCUAGCCCUGGACUCUAUCCUCCAUGUCUCGGCAUUUAUCAUUACAUGCGAGGCCUUCCUCUGAAUCCCCCCACACUUCGGCUUAUGGCUCAAGACCUUCAGUGUGAAGCCGAAGAUAGUCGAUGAGGAAUACGUGGAGUGCGGCGGUGCUACGAUCAGCCAACUCACCAGCACUUGUUGGCCAAAAGGUUAUUUUACCGAAACUUCCAAUCAGUGACAACGGGAGUGGUUUUACGUUACGGCGCCCUGCAACACCAAGUGGGUAGCUGCACCCACAUUCCUUCCUGGCCCACCAUUACAACUUGCAUCAUCGGUCAACAAGGGGCUAGACUGGGGAUCAGUUGAUGAAGUGCAAACUUUACAGAGCUGCAUCUGAACCCUCCUCGAGAGAGACAUCGAUCUUGUCAACGUGAUCCAAGUGAUGUUAGUUUGCCGAAUCUUGCCAUGCCAGCGUAGGUCUCGCCGCAUGUGGGAGCUUAAUCCAGAAGGACCACAAACCCUCCAACACUUCUUCGACACCACACAUGAAGUGAUGUGGAAUUUAUUUUUCGAGAAGCGGAAACAUCGGCCGGACAUUACCGAAGAUGCUGGCCUUAACUGCAACCGUCCGGAUACCCCGGUAAGCACUUGGCUCCCGAACACUUUGUAAUUAUGCAUACCAUAAUAUGGUACUGAGCAAGCUAUCUUCUUCCAGGGCUGGACAAAGAAGGCAGAACUAAUUAUGUGUUCGGCCCCUCUGCCCGAGGGCCCAGUGAAUCCUGUUCUAAUAAGGAUGCUGGCCCUGGCACCAUACUAGAUGCCUGUGAAGGAGGGCAAGGCGAAGAGUGAGAGGACCAAUUAUGGCACCUAUUCCAAGGGUGCAUCAGACAUUGUGUCCGAAGGAAUCAAAAACCCCUCAUCCGAAGACAAAAGUGGAGGGAGGGCCAUGGUCUCCUUUCCUCCUAGGAAUAGAAGGGCCGCCUCCGAAUAUUGGGAGAAGCAGGCGCCUAAGCGAGGCAAGAUGCCUUAGGUGGGUGGCUCGGGCUUGGAGGACGUCGAAGCACAACACUACAAGAAAUAUGUCAACUUGUGACCUUGACUAUUGGUCACUGAAAGGUCAUUGUUUUUCAUUUGCGACCUUUUUGUGACCAAAAACAGAAGGUCAAAAGCUGGCGGUCGUAAUCUGAAAUUAACGACCUUCUCUGUGAGAAGGUCGUAGAUGUUUACGACCAAAACAGAAGGUCGUUGAACCCAUGACCUUUUGUUUUGGUCACUAGCUGUCUGCCUAGGCCACGUCGGAUCCGGCGUGGUAAUCUGAUGUGGCAAAAUUGCGACCUAUUCAAAAGGUCACUGAUAAGAUUCAGCCCAGUCCGAGUAGGUGUCUAUAUGGGCCGAGCCCAUUAAUUCGGCCCAUUUAUUAUUAUUUUUUCUAUCAAUUUUUGGUCUAUUUCAUGGGCCUAGCCCAACAUUUCAGCCAUUUAUUUUCUAGGCCGCACCCUUUUACGUCCAAUUGUUCGGGCCUUAGCCUUUUUUUAGUCCAAUUCUUAUUCAGGCCUCGGCCUUUUUGUGGUCCUUUUAAAUUUUGGAACUCGACCCUUUUACAAUCCAUUUUAUUUAUUUUCGGAAAUUAAUAUACUAGCAUUGCUGAAACAGACCCCAACUAUGUUUGGACUGUGGCCUUUUUAAGGUCUAGUAGUGUUUGGGCCAAGGACUCUUUCAGUAUUAUGUUCACAUCCAACUAAAUACAUUUAUCACAAAUUCAAAUUCCCAGCAUUUGAAUAACAAGUACACCCAACAUUAAAUAACAGGUACAAUAAGUAAAUAUACACCCAAAUCCUAGCAAGAUCAGCAUUACAUCAAAAUUCCAAGCAAAUUCUGCAUCACAAGUUCAAUAACAUAUAAAGCGAGCCGCUGACUGGGGCUUCGAGCUUCUUCAAAUUUCUUUGGCCGAGGAACUCCUAUAAAUGAGAGGGAAAACAGAUUAGUCACAAGUACACAAGCACUGUUUGCAUCAGUACAUCGACACUCGCAAGUAAUACAUCAUUCACUUAAAACAUCUAAAGUGAAAUAGAUACUUGACAUGACACAUGAGGAAGAUGUUGCCAGACAAAGAUGACACUUGUAUAGACCUUGAAAAAACAUACAAGUCAGUGAUGCUCCAACACAUCACUCAUGGACUAAAAUAACAAGAUAAAGCAUCACUAGGGAUGCAUAGUGAUCUUACUAAUAUGUUUUAGUUGUCUACUUUGGAGUUGCAGUAUCUCUUAACAGCAUGCUACACUCUGAACUUAGUGUUCAUAGCAACAUAUGAAGUGAGGAGAUUUGAAUAGAUUUUUCAAAUACAUGUGCUGGUAUGGGAAUGCUUCUCUAGAAUGAUGUACAUGUGCACAGUUUUUCAAAUAAAUAUGAGGACUCCUAGGACAAUCAGAGAAUGAAUGAAUGCGAAAGGCAGAGCAUCAUCAUAGAUGAAGGCAUCACCAGAAUUCGUAUUUACAUGGAGAGACACUAACAUGCAGGAAUAUGUAUGGAUUGUCAAAACUUGCAUUAUCCUACUAUCACUAGUACAAAAAGUUGCAGGUUGGCAUAUCCAUGAACCAUGUACCUCAUGACAGAUACAAUAUAUCAUUGAAUGCUCGACUAUGACAAAAGUUAAACAAUUACACCUAACAAAGGCAAAGCAAAGAAUCAUAGAGCGAGUAGGAGGGGUAGAAGGGCACCUAAGGAGCUCAUCGGAAGUGGUUGUAGCCUAGGCUGAGCUUCACCAUCACAGCGACAGCCAAGGGAGGCAGCCAAGCCUACCAAUGCGUAGACAUCAUAGGAGCAGUAGCCGUGUAGCACCACCACUACCGGAAAGUAAAAAACCUAGAAAGAAAGUAAAAAAAACAGCCGCCCUACUACAGAACAUCAUUAGGCGCAAAUAUUUGGCAUAUUCAAACAUGAUGCUGUUCUACGACUAGAUCAGGUAGUUAGUACCACCAUGAUGCUACAGGUAGAAAAUAUCUACUCUAUCAUAUGAGUUUGACUUCGGGGUAUAUAGGGGAAGAUGGUAGCUCAGUGUAUCCAAUUAUCCAUACAAUGUAAAAGGUCAUGAACAUACUAGAUGCAAUAUUAUCACCAUUUAUAGUACAAUAAACUCAGAUCUUACAGAACAAAUUGACAUUAUCAGACAAUUCAGGAGACUGUGUGUUUUCUCCCAGCCAUAUCAUACACCAAAAGCACAGUGCCCAGCAAAUGUGAAACCCUACUUGUUACCGGUGAGUAUGAGGAGGUCAUCGCUACCUAUCACAAUUGCACGAGUAGGUCAUCAUUUGGAAUCUGGCACAACUCUGCAAGGAGGUCGGCAUCAUUAAUCCUGAAAUUUUAAGUAUUGUUUGGUGAAGUUAACUCAAACAAUAAUAUGUCUAAGAACGACCAGACUUCAAAGAGUGCCCAAAAGAUUCUACCAGAGAGUCAAGACGAAAACGUGUGCCAACCCCUAUGCAUAGGUUCAUGGGCGGAACCUGCAAGUUGCUCACCAAAACAUACAUCAAGUGGAUCAAUAGUAUACCCCAUUGUCACCACGGGUAUCCCACGCAAGACAUACAUCAAGUGUUCUCAAAUCCUUAAAGACUCAAUCCGAUAAGAUAAAUUCAAAGGGAAAACUCAAUCCAUUACAAGAGAGUAGAGGGCGAGAAACAUCAUAAGAUCCAACUUUAAUAGCAAAGCUUGCGAUACAUCAAGACUGUACCACCUCAAGAACACGAGAGAGAGAGAGCGAUCAAACAAAUAGCUACUGGUACAUACCCUCAGCCCCGAGGGUGGACUACUCCCUCCUCAUCAUGGAGAGCGCCGAGAUGAUGAACAUGUCCACCGGAGAGGCAUUGCCCCUCUGGCAGGGUGCCGGAGCGAGUCUAGAUUGGUUUUCGGUGGCUACAGAGGCUUCUGGCGGUGGAACUCCUGAUCUAUCCUCGUCUCUGGUAGUUUUAGGGUAUAUGGAUAUAUAUAGGCAGAAGAAAUACAUCAGGGGAGCCACGAGGGGCCCAAGAGGGUGGAGGAUGUGCCCAGGGGGGUGGGCGCGCCCCUUGGCUUGUGCCUUCCUCGUUGCUUCCCUUAUGUACACCCCAAGUCUUCUGGAUUGCUUCCGUUCCAAAAAUAAGUUUCAUGAAGUUUCAGGUCAAUUGGACUCCGUUUGAUUUUCCUUUUCUGCGAUACUCUAAAACAAGGAAAAAACAGAAACUGGCACUGGGCUCUGGGUUAAUAGGUUAGUCCCGAAAAUAAUAUAAAAGUGUAUAAUAAAGCCCAUAAACAUCCAAAACAGAUAAUAUAAUAGCAUGGAACAAUCCAAAAUUAUAGAUACGUUGGAGACGUAUCAGCAUCCCCAAGCUUAAUUCAUGCUCGUCCUCGAGUAGGUAAAUGAUAAAAACAGAAUUUUUGAUGUGGAAUGCUACCUAACAUAUUCAUCAUGUAUUUCUCUUUAUUGUGGCAAGAAUUUUCAGAUCCAUAAGAUUCGAGACAAAAUAUUAAUAUUGACAUAAAAAUAAUAAUACUUCAAGCAUACUAACUAAGCAAUCAUGUCUUCUCAAAAUAGCAUGGCUAAAGAAAGCUAUCCCUACAAAAUCAUAUAGUCUGGCUAUGCUCCAUCUUCACCACACAAAGUAUUUAAAUCAUGCACAACCCCGAUGACAAGCCAAGCAAUUGUUUCAUACUUUUGAUGUUCUCAAACUUUUUCAAUCUUCACGCAAUACAUGAGCAUGAGCCCUGGACAUAGCACUAUAUGUGCAAUAGAAUGGUGGUUGUGGAGAAGACAAGAAGGGAGAAAAUAGUCUCAUAUGAACUAGGCGUAUCAACGUGCUAUGGAGAUGCCCAUUAAUAGAUAUCAAUGUGAGUGUGUAGGGAUUGCCAUGCAAUGAAUGCACUAGAGCUAUAAAUGUAUGAAAGCUCAACAAAAGAAACUAAGUGGGUGUGCAUCCAACUUGCUUGCUCACGAAGACCUAGGGAAUUUUGAGGAAGCCCAUUGUUGGAAUAUACAAGCCAAGUUCUAUAAUGAAAAUUUCCCACUAGUAUAUGAAAGUGACAAAAUAAGAGACUCUCUAUCAUGAAGAUCAUGGUGCUACUUUGAAGCAUAAGUGUGGAAAAAAGGAUAGUAGCAUUGUCCCCUUUUUUAUUUUUUAUUUGGCCUUUCUUUUUUAUUUGGCCUUUCUCACUUUUUUGGCCUUUAUUUUGGGACAAUGCUCUAUUAAUGAUGAUCAUCACACUUCUAUUUAUUUACAACUCAAUGAUUUCAACUCGAUACUAGAACAAAGUAUGACUCUAUAUGAAUGCCUCCGGCGGUGUACCGGGAUGUGCAAUGACUCAAGAGUGACAUGUAUGAUAGAUUAUGAACGAUGGCUUUGCCACAAAUACAAUGUCGUCUACAUGAUCAUGCAAAGCAAUAUGACAAUGAUGGAGCGUGUCAUAGUAAACGGAACGGUGGAAAGUUGCAUGGCAAUAUAUCUCUGAAUGGCUAUGGAAAUGCCAUGAUAGGUAGGUAUGGUGGCUGUUUUGAGGAUGGUAUAUGGUGGGUGUAUGAUACUGGCGAAAGGUGCGCGGUAUUAGAGAGGCUAGCAAUGCUGGAAGGGUGAGAGUGUGUAUAAUCCAUGGACUCAACAUUAGUCAUAAAGAACUCACAUAUUUAUUGCAAAAAUCUAUUAGUUAUCGAAACAAAGUACUAUGCGCAUGCUCCUAGGGGAUAGAUUGGUAGGAAAAGACCAUCGCUCGUCCCCGACCGCCACUCAUAAGGAGGACAAUCAAUAAAUACAUCAUGCUCUGACUUCUUAACAUAACGGUUCACCAUACGUGCAUAUGCUACGGGAAUCACAAACUUCAACACAAGCAUUUCUCAAAUUCACAACUACUCAACUAUCACGACUCUAAUAUCACCAUCACCAUAUCUCAAAACAAUUAUCAAGUAUCAAACUUCUCUUAGUAUUCAAUGCACUCUAUAUGAAAGUUUUUAUUAUAUCACUCCUGGAUUCCCAUCAUAUUAGGACUAGUUUCAUUACCAAAGCAAACUACCAUGCUGUUCUAAAAGACUCUCAAAAUAAUAUAAGUGAAGCACGAGAGUUCAUCUAUUUCUUCAAAAUAAAACCACCACCGUUCUCUAAAAAGAUAUAAGUGAAGCACUAGAGCAAAUGAUAAACUACUCCGAAAGAUAUAAGUGAAGACCAAUGAGUAGUCGAAUAAUUAUGCAACUAUGUGAAGACUCUCUAACAUUAAAGAAUUUCAGAUCUUGGUAUUUUAUUCAAACAGCAUGAAAAACUAAAUAAAAUAAAAUGACGCUACAAGCAAAACACAUAUCAUGUGGUAAAUAAAAAUAUAGCUCCAAGUAAAGUUACCGAUGAAUGAAGACGAAAGAGGGGAUGACAUCCAGGGCAUCCCCAAGCUUAGGCUCUUGGUUGUCCUUGAAUAUUACCUUGGGGUGCCUUGGGCAUCCCCAAGCUUUGGCUCUUGGCACUCCUUAUUCCAUAGUCCAUCAAAUCUUUACACAAAACUUGAAAACUUCACAACACAAAACUUAACAGAAAACUCGUAAGCUCCGUUAGUAUAAGAAAAUAAAUCACCACUUAGGUACUUUUUUGAACUCAUUAUAAAUUCAUAUUGGUGUAAUAUCUACUGUAUUCCAACUUAUCUAUGGUUCAUACCCUCCGAUACUACUCAUAGAUUUAUCAAAAUAAGCAGACAACACAUCGAAAACAGAAUCUGUCAAAAACAGAACAGUCUGUAGUAAUCUGGAUCAAACGUAUACUUCUGGAACUCAUAAAAUUCUCAUAUAAAUUGCUGGACGUGAGGAAUUUAUCUAUUAAUCAUAUUCAAAAAUAAUUAACUAAAUAGCACUAUCCAGAUAAAAAUUGCAGCAAUUCUCAUGAGCGCUAAUGUUUCUGUUUUUUACAGCAAGAUCAACAAGACUUUCCCCAAGUCUUCCCAACGGUUCUACUUGGCACAAACACUAAUUAAAAUAUAAAAACUCAAUAAUAACAGAGGCUAGAUAAAUUAUUUAUUACUAAACAGGAGCAAAAAGCGAGGAACAAAAAUAAAAAUUGGGUUGCCUCCCAAUAAGCGCUAUCGUUUAACGCCCCUAGCUACGCAUGAUGAUUUCAAUGAUGCUCACAUAAAAGAUAAGAAUUGAAACAUAAAGAGAGCAUCAUGAAGAAUAUGACUAUCACAUUUAAGUCUAACCCACUUCCUAUGCAUAGGGAUUUUGUGAGCAAACAACUUAUGGGAACAAUGAUCAACUAGCAUAGGAGGGCAAACCAAGCAUAACUUCAAGAUUUUAAGCGCAUAAAGAGGAAACUUGAUAUUAUUGCAAUUCCUACAAGCAUAUGUUCCUCCCUCAUAAUAAUUUUCAGUAUCAUCAUGAAUGAAUUCAACAAUAUAACUAUCACAUAAAUCAUUAUUUUCAUGAUCUAUAAGCAUAGAAAUUUUAUUACUCUCCACAUAAGCGAAAUGCUUCUCAUUCGGAAUAGUGGGAGUAUCAUAAGAGGCUCGAAUACUAUAAAUCGUUUCCACAAUAAAAGGGUAAUGUUCAGAAAAGGGGUAAUCAUAAUCAUGACAAGUUUUAUAAAUAUAAUCAUCACUACUUUUUAUAGCAUAAGUAUCAUCAUAAUAUUCAUCAUAAGUAGCAACUUUGUUUUCAUCAUAAUCAAUUGAAACCUCUUCCAAGAUAGUGGAACCAUUACUAAAUAAAGUCAUGACCUCUCCAAAUCCACUUUCAUAAUUAUCAUAAUAAGAUUAAACAUUCUCCAAAAUAGUGGGAUCAUUACUUCCUAAAGUUGACACUCUUCCAAACCCACUUUCAUAAAUAUAAUCAUCAUAAGUAGGAGGCAUGGUAUUAUCAUUAUAAAUUUGCAUAUCAAAACUUGGGAGACUAAAAAUAUCAUCUUCAUUAAACAUAGCAUCCCCAAGCUUGGAAAAAACAUUAAUUGCAGCAAAUAUAUUUUCAAAAACAUCAUGUUCAUCAAACAUAGCAUCCCCAAGAUUGGGCCUUUUCAUAUCAUAAGCAUAAUCACUCUCAUCAUUAAUAGUAUUGAUAACACCAAUAGUAUAGCAAUUAUCAUAUUCUUCCAAGCAAGUGCCAAAAAGAUUUUCAAGAUCGUAAGAAGUAUUAUUAUCUUCCACAAUUAUAUUUUCAUGAGGCACAACAGUAAUAGGGGCAGCAUUAUUUGGGAGAGAUAUCUUUUUACCUCUCUUCCUUUUUCUUUUCUUCUUCUUCACCACAUCAUGUGUGGGUUCAAUCCUAUUUUUGGAGCUCCUUAUUAAUGAGAUUGGUUGAAUAGGAGGCUCCUCCUCGUUACCUGAUUCAUCAUAAGAAAUAGUAGGAGGGUAUUGGGAAGUCUCUUCCCUCUCAUUAGUAUUCUCUUUAUCUUCUAUUUGUUUUCUCUUUUUUAUGUAGUUGGCGAUAUAAGGAUUUUCAAUACAAUUCACUGCACAAUACAUAUAAAUUUCCUCUAGAUCAAAGCCAAGAAGUUUUUCACGGGCAAAUACUGGAAGAUAGUUAGUUAUCCGUUUCAUUUCUUCGUAACCCAUAAGCAAACUAAGUUCAUUAUGAUGUGCAAGAGAAAUCAAAUCAUCACAAUUUUUGUAAAUGAUUAGAUCAUGAAACAAUUUGCAUCGGAUGGUUAAAUGAUCGCGUUCAUUGCAAAGUUCACAAAUAUGGCCAAGAAAAUUUUAAUUUUCAGCACAAACAUCUAGCCUUUCUUGCAACCAUUUAGUUUCUAAAUGCUUAUGACUCUUGCAAUAUCUAUCUUCCCUAUUUGGUGUGUACAUGCAAACCCAAUGCACUUCAAAAAAAUUGAUAUGUUUAUAGGAGAAAUUUUCAUCAUAACUAGUGCAAUCAUCAUUAGUACUAUGGAUAUUCAAGGAGUUCAUACUAACAACAUUGCAAUCAUGCUCAUCAUUCAAAGAUUUAGUGCCAAACAUUUAAUGCAUUCUUCUUCUAACACCUUUGCACAAUUUUCCUUCCCAUCAUACUCACGAAAUAUAUUAAAAAAGAUGAAGCAUAUGAGGUAAACUCAAUUCCAUUUUUGAGUUUUCUUUUAUAAACUAAACUAGUGAUAAAACAAGAAAAUAAAAGAUUCAAUUACAAGAUCUAAAGAUAUACCUUCAAGCGCUAACCUCCCCGGCAACGGCGCCAGAAAAGAGCUUGAUGUCUACUACACAACCUUCUUCUUGUAGACGUUGUUCGGCCUCCAAGUGCAGAGGUUUGUAGGACAGUAGCAAAUUUCCCUCAAGUGGAUGACCUAAGGUUUAUCAAUCCAUUGGAGGCGUAGGAUGAAGAUGGUCUCUCUCAAACAACCUUGCAACCAAAUAACAAAGAGUCUCUUGUGUCCCCAACACACCCAAUACAAUGGUAAAUUGUAUAGGUGCACUAGUUCGGCGAAGAGAUGAUGAUACAAGUGGUAUAUGGAUAGUAGAUAAUGGUUUUUGUAAUCUGAUAAUAUAAAAACAGCAAGGUAACUAAUGAUAAAAGUGAGCACAAACGGUAUUGCAAUGAGUUGAAACCAGGCCUUGGGUUCAUACUUUCACUAGUGCAAGUUCCCUCAACAAUAAUAACAUAACUGGAUCAUAUAACUAUCCCUCAACAUGCAACAAAGAGUCAAUCCAAUGUCACUAAUAGCGCAAAACAAACAAAGAGAUUAUGGUAGGGUACGAAACCACCUCAAAGUUAUCCUUUCUGAUCGAUCUAUUCAAGAGUCGGUAGUAAAAUAACAUGAAGCUAUUCUUUCCGUUCGAUCUAUCAUAGAGUUCGUACUAGAAUAACACCUUAAGACACAAAUCAACCAAAACCCUAAUGUCACCUAGAUACUCCAAUGUCACCUCAAGUAUCCGUGGGUACGAUUAUACGAUAUGCAUCACACAAUCUCAGAUUCAUCUAUUCAAACCAACACAAAGUACUUCAAAGAGUUCCCCAAAGAUUCUACCAGAGAGUCAAGACAAAAACGUGUGCCAGCCCCUAUGCAUAGGUUCAUGGGCGGAACCCGCAAGUUGAUCACCAAAACAUACAUCAAGUGGAUCAAUAGAAUACCACAUUGUCACCACGGGUAUCCCACGCAACAGAUACAUCAAGUGUUCUCAAAUCCUUAAAGACUCAAUCCGAUAAGAUAACUUCAAAGGGAAAACUCAAUCCAUUACAAGAGAGUAGAGGGCGAGAAACAUCAUAAGAUCCAACUAUAAUAGCAAAGCUCGUGAUACAUCAAGAUCGUACCACCUCAAGAACACGAGAGAGAGAGAGAGAGAUCAAACACAUAGCUUGGGAUCAUUAUAUACCCUCAGCCCCGAGGGUGGACUACUCCCUCCUCAUCAUGGAGAGCAACGGGAUGAUGAACAUGUCCACCGGAGAGGGAUUCCCCCUCCGGCAGGGUGCGGGAACGGGUCUAGAUCGGUUUUCGGUGGCUAAGGAGGCUUCUAGCGGCGGAACUCCCGAUCUAUCCUUGUCUCUGAUAGUUUUAGGGUAUAUGGAUAUAUAUAUAGGCGGAAGAAAUACAUCAGGGGAGCCACAAGGGGCCCACGAGGGUGAAGGGCGCGCCCAGGGGGGUGGGCGCACCCCCUACCUCGUGCCUUCCUCGUUGCUUCCCUUACGUACACCCCAAGUCUUUUGGAUUGCUUUCGUUCCAAAAAUAAGUUUCGUGAAGUUUCAGGUCAAUUGGACUCCAUUUGAUUUUCCUUUUCUGCAAUACUCUAAAACAAGGAAAAACAGAAAAUGGCACUGGGCUCUGGGUUAAUAGGUUAGUCCCAAAACUAAUAUAGAAGUGUAUAAUAAAGCCCAUAAACAUCCAAAACAGAUAAUAUAAUAGCAUGAAACAAUAAAAAAUUAUAGAUAUGCUGGAGACGUAUCAGCAUGUCAUUAUCUUCAUCAUAUCUUUUCAUGCAUGAUGAAUUGUCUUCAUAAGUUGAAGAGGAUCUCCACAAGUACAACUUGCCAUGUGCAUUUGCAUUCAAAAGCAAAAUACUUAUAUGCACAUCUUCAGGGGGAGCCUUUUGCUACUUAUGAAGAAAAUAACUUAAUCCUUUACAAUUUCACAUACUUUUAUCCCCGUUGAAAAAUUCAACCAGUUUGUCAUCAAUCACCCAAAAGGGGGAGAUUGUAAGUUCAUCUAGUGCCACCCCUAGUUGGUUUUGGAGUAUUGACGACAAACCUGGUUGAGGGACUAAUGUGUUUGUGAGAAUUGCAGGAUAACACAGGUAGUAGUCCCUCACUGAUUCGGUUUACCUACCGGAGAUGACCCCUAAAAAUGUGUGAAGACAUUGAAGACAAUGGUGGUAUGUGAAGAUAUUCACAACGAAGAUUGUGAUUCGAGAAGACAUUCACGUGAAGACUAUGGAGUGCGAAGACAUAGCUGUUUCGUAGUUUCCUUUUCUUCUUUGUUGAGUAAUAGGAACCACCGUACUAUUAAGUGGGGUCCAAGUGAACAAAGUCAGAGUGACUGAAGUGAUGCUCGACCAAAUCCUAAGUCUUCGAGCAAAGACAAUGAGAGAAAAUCUUAUCUAGAGCUGGAUGAGUCAGCUUUACUUAUAGCCCAAGUUAAGCUACCACGUGUGUUUGAAAUCUGACCGUUGGAACAUGUGUCAGUUCCUUAGUGACCCAGGGUCAUUUCGGACAAAUCAGGUCGAGUUUCCUAGUGGCUAUAAAUAGCCCCACCCCCUACACCAUAAAUUGAUGGCUGCUCAGAGUUAGUGCACGGCUUUUGUCGUUUGAGAGCAACCCACCUCGAAGCCUUUGAGAGAGAAAUCUUUCGGAGGACAAAGCCCUAAACACCCAGAGCUAAAGAGUGUUAGGCAUCACUGAAGACUUUCUGUCUGUGUGAUCUGAAGACUUGUUACACCUGAGGACUAUGAAUCCUCCAGCCAGUUAGGCGUCACGUUCUGAGCAUCCAAGAGUCAUUGUGGAUCGCCGAUGAACAAAGUUUGUGAAGGUUUGGAAGUCUACCUUGAAGACUUACCAGAGUGAUUGGGCGACGAAUGUGUGUCCUUAGCUCAAGGGGAAUAAGGUGAAGAUGCGGUCUUCUAAGUUAAAUCUCAGCCUCCCUAACCAGACGUAUAGUUGUCACAGCAACUGGAACUGGUCCAGCAAAUACAUGUCCUCAUAGAGCAACUGGUUCUAUCUCUUACCUCUCUUUGCUUAUUGUUUGUCUUCGUGAAGUCAUUGCCUGCUUGCAUGAUCUGAUUGACUUCACUGUGUGAAGACUGUUGUUGAUUGGCUUCAUACUAUCUUCCAUCUUGAUCCAUACUACCUAGCUGUUGAUAGUCUUCGUGCUUUCACUUCAUUGCCUACUUGACUAUGGCUUGUCUAGUGUAGUCUAAAUUCCGCUGCAUAUCAAUAGGUUCAUUGCUUCUGUUUGUCUUCAAAGCCCCCGUGGUUUGAAGACUUUCAUAAAAAUCGCCUAUUCUCCCCCCUCUAGUCGAUAACUAGCACUUUCAAUCAUGGAGCAAUUAUAUGAUUACAGGAUGAUUGAAGACUGCCCCGUGGUUGAGCAAGCUCAUGAUAUACAUGCAUUUGCUAGAGAACUUGAGUACUUCAGUUGUAUGCUACCAGACACAGGUGGGUAGCUUCGGUUAAUUAAUUAUACAUCCAGUGCACCCCUUUUAAGUUGAAGAAUGUAUGAAAUGUAAUGAAAUCCGACAUGUUUAUAUGAAAUCCGACCGUGUAUGAAUGAAUUUAUUUUGAUUAGUUCGAAUUCGUGUAUCACUGGCAUUGGAUGAACAUGCAAAACAAUAUGUACUAGCAUUAUUCCCAGGGUGAUCACCUCGUUUGCAGCUGUUUCACAUGUACUCCCUCCGGUCCUUUCUAGUCUGCAUACAAGUUUUGUCUGCAGUCAAAGUAUCUCUACUUUGACCAAUCUUAUAGAAAAAAGUAUGCACUUUCACAAUGUGAGAAGUAAAAAGGAACAGAAGGAGUACAAAGUGUUUGAGCAGCUUUUUAGCGUUCCUAUACAUUGCAAUCAAACACACAAGCCUGGCAAUUCAUAGAGAACAUUCAAAACAAUCGAUGAUUAUGCAUCUCGGCGAUUCACAUGUCAGAGCCAAUAUUUACUUCACAGCUAAAGAAUAAAGAAAAAAUGGAUCGACGCUGCUGCCAACAAAGGGCGUCCCAUUCGAAAAUAUCAAACGCAUGUCUUUUUGCUAAAAUCAAUGAGCAAAAUUUGACAAGUUUGUCCCAUUCCAAAAUAUCAAAUGCCUACGAUUGUGGAAUGGGCAGGGUUUGCCAUCAGUUCGGACAUUGAUGUGGCACCCCGUGCUAAAUAAACUAGCUAUUCUUCUUGUGAAGUUCCACCAAAAUCAACCAAAUUCGCUUGGCACCUCCUUUAUUUUGGUGGAAAUGAAUGAUUCAAUGUAUUCAUGAACAUUUUGUGCAGUUCGCAUUGAAAUCAAGCUGAGCACCCCUGUUUGCACAAAGACAAAAAAAAGUGAUUAGUAUAAAGCAAAUUGUACUAUGAAUUGACAGUUUAAACAGGCACCUACAUGGUCCAUGUAGAGCGCACUUUUAGAAAAAUGGAACUCACCGGAAAGAAUCCUAGAACAACAUUGUACUCGCGCAUCACAACAAGAAAAUGGAGAUUUGUUAGUCCUUCCGAGCUGAAGUUAGUUUGGUCUUGUGGGGGGUAAUGUAACCAUCCUUCAACUGCUCCUUCUGAUGAGAAGAUAGGCGGGGCUUCUUCAUCCCGACAUAAUCGAAACUAGUCACUUCACGUACUCCAUAUUCUUCUUCAUAGGAGGAUGAUCCUGUUGUGCAAAGGCAAGAGGACAAUUAAAUGCUAGCAUCCCUGUUUGCUCAAAAAAGGAAAUGAAAUAUUUAAAACAACACAGACGAAGCACUUCUCAAGGACAAUACCACUUUUUGAUGACAGUAUCUAAACAGUAGCACAACACCAAUAGAGAUGACAAAGCUCAAUCAUAUGGAUGAAAUCAGUUGGUGAGUACCAACCUUUGUCACGAGGCUUAUUGUGUAGAGCAUACAGAUGAAGCAUUUCUUCGGAACCAUUUGUUGCUAUCUACUGUGGUGGCCAUGCUUACUAUAUACUCCUCGAUUAGUAUAAUGUUUCCAACAUCUUCUUGUGCAGUUCCACUAAAAUAUAUGGUAUCUCCAAAGAAGAUCCCUAUUUGCACAAGUAGAGGUAAUUUUGUAUUACAUUAAGAGUGGAAUCAAAUCAGUGGCAAAACAAUUGCUCAUUCCAGUCAUAGCAAUAAAUUAAGAUGCAAAACUAUAUCAUUACUUGUGUCACCACAGUUCCAGUGUCACCACGGUUCCAUUGCUUCAUUACAGCACCGGGAGUUGAUUUUUGUUUUUCUUCCGCUUGUUCUUCCCCUUCAUCACAUGGUUCAAUAACAGACAAGCUUCGCCUUCAAUGUAAGAUUUGGCAUGUCAAUUAGGUUGCACAAGUAUAGCACUAAACAAUGACAUUAAUUUUUGGAUGAAAGUGGCAAAAUACAGGCCAACAGUUGUGAAAUAUCCUUAUCUUACCUCAAUGGGAUAUUAAAGUGCACAUACAUAUUGGAUGUCUUGUCUCCAUUUGUGUAGUUCACUAAAAUCAAGCAACACACUACAAGAAAUAUGUCAACUUAUGACCUUCUGUCAGUGACCCUGGAAGAAUUGGUCAUAAAUCUAUGACCAUUUUAGACCAAUUGGUCAAAAGCUGUUCGGGGGGCUCCAAACCCUAAACCAUUGCGACCAUUUUGGUCAGAAAGGUCGUAAUUUCCUUACACGAAAUGGUCAUAAAGCAGACAACACUAGUCCGAUGCCUUAUUUCUAGCUGAUCAUGACCAAUAUAGAUGGUCAUAACCUUGUAAAUUGUGGUGGGUUGGUAUGACUAGGCGCCACCUCAUCAGUUUUGCCUAUGUCUCAUGUCCAUGUGGCAGUUUUUGCCCUAGGUUGUGAAGCGACCUAUAUUUCUGUCAUUCCCAAAAUUCCCAAAAAAAUCUCAUAAAUUCUUUGGGUCAUAUCUUCAUCGAAUAUGUAAAAGUCCUUCCUUGCCUAGUUCAAAACUAAUUCAACAAUAUUCAUUUCACUAUUCUGUUCACAAUAACACUUUAUGAAGGAAGUGCUAUUUAUAUAUUCUUGAUUGCCCUAGGAAUUUUUGGGCACUCUUUUCUAUCCAAAUCAUUACCGCAUGACAAAAUUCAGCUCCAUUUGCCUAGCAAAUCUUCCUCCGCAAAUUUCCAAAGUUUUUGUCCACCUAGAAGCAUUGUGAAGGAAGUACCUUUUUUAUAUCUCGAAAUGACAUGAAAUUUAUACAGUUCCUUCAUAUGCCCAAAUUAUCACCCUCCUCCAAAUUGCAGCUCAGUCAAAUCAUCUAUGUGAGCCCAGGUUCAAUUUAUAUUUUAUGGCCAAAUUGGCACGUUGCAAAGCAAGUGUUAUAUAGACCCCUCCUAUUACCCUCAAAUUUUUCGGGCACGCUUCCAUACCCAAAUCAUUGCCACAUGAUAAUAUUUAGCUCAAUUUUCCUAGUAAAUCUUUCUCAGGAAAUUUCCAAAGUUUUUACCUCGAGAGAAGCUUUGUGAAGUAAGUACUACUUUGGAAUAUUUAGCUCAUCCAAUUCAUCCAAUCUCUCUCACUAGUUUUCCCAAGUUUUUGUCCAUAGAAGAGCAUUGUGAAGGAAGUACUACUUUGGCAUGUCCAAAUGGUCUCAAUUUUCUACAAUGCUUUCCUAUGCCCAAAGAGCCAUCCUCCACUAAAUUUCAGCUCAAUCCAUUCAUUAUUUUGAUCCCAGCUUCAACAUUCAUAUUUAUGUCCAGUGUGGUACUUUGCAAAGCAAGUACCAUCUAGGAUCCUCCUUUUGAGCUAAAAAUUUGUGAAGACAUUCUCCUUAGUAGAUGAUCAUUCUCAGCCAAAACUCACGCCCAUUGGCCAUGUGCAUUUCCCGUACCGCUAAUCAAACACUUGGCUGCUUAUUCAUGUUUGAGCAUCGAUCGGUCUCCUCAUGAGAAUCUUAUGUUGUGAUUUUCUUCCUAUCACCUACCUGGGGAGUGCCCAACCCACUAGACAUGCCUAGGCUGCCCAGAACACAUGGCAACGCCACGGUCACGCGGUGACCACGCAGCGGGCAUGCGAGUUUAUGUGCUCUAGAGUUGGGGGCCUCGGCCACCGCCCAAACCUCGACGUAUCGCCACAAAACCAUGUAUUUAUGAUUAAAUAGGUACUUAUGUAACUAGAAAUGAUUUUUGGACAAAAUAAAUAGCAAACUAUGAGGCAGCUGCAGUUCAAAUUUGACCCGCUUCCUAUUGAAUCGGUGGGAAUUUGUCUUUUUCACCAGAGGUGGAUCAAAAAUUUUGACACCCAACCAUUUUGUCAAUUGUGCAUUAUAUAUGUCCUAGUAUUUUAUAAAAUUGAUUAGGUCCAAUUUUGCAACAAAUAUAUGGUAGGUCCUUCACAAAAAAACUCAUUUUGGGCACUCAGAAAAAUGGAAAAUGAAUUUUUCGUGCAAAGAAAAUGAAAACUUCCUAAGGCAACAUUGUUUGGAAUUCUAAGAUGCACCCUUCUGCACAAUAUGAGAUCAUUUGAACAAACUAUGCCAUGAAUGUGGCCAUAAGAUUGAUCAUUUGGCUUGAAAGCUAUGAAUCUUCACGCAUGAUAGCUCAUUUUUGAGAACACUUUUUUAAAAGAAUUGCCGUAUUACAAGUUUAUUAUUUUUCCUGGUAACUUAGCCAUAUAUAAUGACACAAUGCGAAGGGUUCCCAAUUUUUUGAUUUUUUUGAAAUUUUUAUGCCCGUUUCAAAAUGCGGUCAAAACGGCGGGAAUGACCGUUCCUAGCUAGUGGUUGAAUCUUGAAUUUUUUUUGGUGUUUCUCUGAUUAAAUAGAUACUUAUGUACCUAGAAAUGAUUUUUGGAAAAAAUAAAGAGCAAACUACGAGGUAGCUACUGUUCAAAUUUGACCCGCUUCCUACUGAAUCGGCAGGAAUUUGUCUUUUUCACGAGAGGUGGAUCAAAACUUUUUACACCCAAACAUUUGGUCAAUUGUGCAUUAAAUAUGUCCUAAUAUUUUAUAAAAUUGAUUUGGUGCAAUUUUGCAACAAUUAUUUGGGAGGUGCUUCACAAAAAACCUCCUUUUGGGCACUCGAAAAAUGGAAAAUGGUUUCUUCGUCCAAAGAAAAUGGAAACUUCCUUAGGCAACAUUAUUUGCCAUUCCAAUAUGCACCCUUGUGCACAAUUUGCGAUCAUUUGAACAAACUAUGCCAUGAAUGUGGCCAUAAGUUUGAUCAUUUAGCUUGAAAGCCAUUGAUCUCCACACGUGAUAGCUCGUUUCUGAGAACACUUUUUUAAAAUAAUUGCCAUAUUACAAGUUUGUUAUUUUUCAUGGGAACUUGACCACAUAUAAUGACACAAUGCGAAGGUUUCCCAAUUUUUUUUAUUUUUUUUGAAUUUUUUAUGCCCGUUUCAAAAUGCGGACAAAACGGCGGGAAUGACCGUUCCAAGCUAGUGGUUGAAUCUUGGAAUUUUUUUGGUGUUUCUCUGAUUAAAUAGAUACUUAUGUACCUAGAAAUGAUUUAAAAAAAAUAAAGAGCAAACUACGAGGCAGCUACAGUUCAAAUUUGACCCGCUUCCAACUGAAUCGGUGGAAAUUUGUCUUUUUCACGAGAGGUGUAUCAAAACUUUUUACACCCAACAAUUUGGUCAAUUGUGCAUUAAAUAUGUCCUAGUAUUUUAGAAAAUUGAUUUGGUCCAAUUUUUCAACAAAUAUAUGGUAGGUCCUUCACAAAAAAAACUCAUUUCGGGCACUCGGAAAAUGGAAAAUGUAUUUUCCGUGCAAAGAAAAUGAAAACUCCCUUAGGCAACAUUGUUUAGAAUUCCAAGAUGCACCCUUGUGCACAAUAUUUCUAGUUACUAAUCAAUUUUUUGAUUUUUUUUUUGAAUUUUUUAUGCCCAUUUCAAAAUGCGGUCAAAACGGCGGGCUUGACCGUUCCUAGCUAGUGGUUGAAUCUUGGAAUUUUUUUGGUGUUUCUUUGAUUAAAUAGAUACUUAUGUACCUAGAAAUGAUUUUUGGAAAAAAUAAAGAGCAAACUACGAGGCAGGUAUAGUUCAAAUUUUCCCGCUUCCAGUUGAAUCGGUGGAAAUUUGUCUUUUUCAUGAGAGGUGGAUCAAAAAUUUUUACACCCAACCAUUUGGUCAAUUGUACAUUAAAUAUGUCUUCGUAUUUUAGAAAAUUGAUUAGGUACAAUUUUGCAACAAAUAUAUGGUAGGUCCUUCACAAAAAAACUCAUUUUGGGCACUCGAAAAAAUGGAAAAUGAAUAUUUCAUUCAAAGAAAUUGAAAACUUCCUUAGGCAACAUUUGGUCAACUGAACAUUAAAUAUGACCUAAGAUUUUAUAAAAAAAAUUGAUGUGGCCCAAAUUUGCAACAAAUAUUUGCUAGGUUCUUCAUAAAAAAUCAUUUUGGGCACUCAAAAAAUAAUUCUCUUACAAAAAACUUAUUUCUGAGAACACUUUUUAAUGAUAUUUGCAUUAUUCAAAGUUUGUUAUUCUUACUGAAAAGUAGGUCACACUUGGUGACACAAUGCAAAGUUUUUUGAUUUCUAUUUAUUUUUAUAAAUUUUCUAGGUCGUCGAAUAGCAGACAUGUUUUAACAUCUUAUUUUCAAUCGAUUAUGACCAAUUUAAAUGGUCUUAAAAUCAUCAAAGGGGUACCGCGUUUUAAUUGGUCCAAAACCAUCUCAUGCAGAUAAUGGAUUAGCACCGUCGGAUACGCCCGGAUCCAACGGCAGCCCACACCCCCCUCAUCCACCCACGAAAACCCUAGCUCACUUAUCCCCAUCGCCAAUGCCGCUCCCACUCACUUCCCCCCCCCCUCCCGCCGCCGCAUGUAUCCUCAUCCUCGUCUCGUCGGUGCCGCCACCUCCUCCUUUCCUCCNNNNNNNNNNNNNNNNNNNNNNNNNNNNNNNNNNNNNNNNNNNNNNNNNNNNNNNNNNNNNNNNNNNNNNNNNNNNNNNNNNNNNNNNNNNNNNNNNNNNNNNNNNNNNNNNNNNNNNNNNNNNNNNNNNNNNNNNNNNNNNNNNNNNNNNNNNNNNNNNNNNNNNNNNNNNNNNNNNNNNNNNNNNNNNNNNCGAUCCCACCCACCGAACCAAUCCCGAUCCAGUCCAAAUCGAGAGAGAGCGAGCCCCCUCCCGCGAUUCCCACCACCGCCACCCCCCACCACCACCGACCUUAUCUCCGCCACAGACCCUCUCCCCUAGCCUUCACCCCCUAGAUCCACCAGUCCAGGCAUGGCCAUGGCGUCGCGGUCGGCUUUCUUGCCGGCGCGCGCGUGCGUGCUUCACGCCGGCCACGGGUCUCCGGUGGCUCGUUCCCCGCCCUUCCUGCGCUCCAGAUCCGGCCCCAACAAAGCCAUGGUGAUUCCCGUCGCCGCGUCUGGCCACCCAGCGACGGCGGGGAUGCGCUGCUGCAGCGCCUCCGCGCGGGGACCUGCAAGGCCGCGCCAUCCCCAACCCCAAGGUAUUUUCCUCUCCCAUCAUGUCCUGCGUUGAGCCCGUGCGAUUCUCCUUCUCGAGACGAGGUUCUGACAAUGUCAUGCGCUCCUUUGGUGUUCGAUUUUCAUUCCCGCAGAUGUCGUCCGAGGCGUUCAAGGUGGUGCUGCUGGAGUCGGUGCACCAGCACUCCACCGCACACAUGCGAUGACGCAGGCGGCUGCUUAGGGUUCUGGCCAGAUGUCGACGUCGAAGCCCCGACCCACCGCCAAAUGUGUCGCCCCCGCCCGUGAUGCGGUCUUUGCCGCAGAGUUGUGCCUCGGAGAUCCGCCCGAUCCGGGCUCCGGGGUCGUCUGCUUCGGCGGUUAGGAGCCCUGUGCCUUCCCCGGAUUGUUAUUACUUUGCUCUUGCUUCUGAUUUUGCUCUGGUCUCUGAUGCGAAUCUUUGCUGCUCUUCCUUUUCCUUGUAGCGUGCGUGAGCCGAUGGAGCGUGGGAGCGAGAUGAGGCCCGUGCACAACAGCAUCGACACCGCUCGCGCUUCGAUCCUGCCCUCUGUGUGAAUUUUUAGUAUCCUACAUGUUGCUACUGGUUGGGUCGUUUAGCGAGCUUGCUCUGAUCAUUAUGCUGCUGUGGUAGAGUUCACGGUUGCUUAGUAGUUACAUCGUCUGUCUCUGUUUUUAAGUGCAAUCGCUAGUUUGGGUACCUCACAUAUUCGACUUCUACUUUGUGUCAUUUGAUUUGUGCCACAAUGAGAGCUCGACAUGAUUGAUGCAUCUCGUUAUGAUAUCACCUGGUUGCCAACUCACAUGUGCAUGCCGGGUACCUGGUUGCUGUGUAAUAGGAGGCUGUGGCGGUGACCACCUAGGUGCAAGAGGAGAUUCUCCGUGAAAUGGGGAACGAUAUAUGCUCUAUGCUUUUCUGGUUUGCUUGCUCUAGCGAUUCUUAUGCAUAUGUGAAGUUAGAAUUGACGAUAGCCUAGCAUGUCUUUCAGUCUAUGCUAGUAGUGAUGCCCAAAUACAGAAUGUAGGCAUGACCCUGUGAGAAAGUGUUCAACAAUUGAUAUUAUAUUAUAAGAUAAUUGUGCUGAACAGUGAAGGAAAUAAAUAGUACUUUAUUAUGAUAACCAAUAUUUUUAUAUUCUCAAAAUAGUGUUGUAGAGGUUAGGUCCAGGGAGUAAAUUAUGAGUUGAUAGCAGUAACAGUGUAGUGAUGUUGUAUGCAAGUCAAAAUUUUGAAUAACCAAUUGCAUCAUAUUGUAAUCUUUGGUACUUUGGGAUCAAUUCACCAUCUGGUCCCGGCUAACCAUUUAGUGCUUUGGUGCUUUGUACACAUGCAAAGUAGUACUAAUCAAACUAGCCCAACAAACUGAGUAUUUCCUUUGGCCACAGGUGCAUGCAGCUGUUCUUGUAAGAACAGACAGUAGAGCAGAGUAGAUGUAUCAUCAUUAGUUUUUGUUGUUGAUUUAUUAGUAAGUUAUAAUCAUGCAACAAUUGUUUUGGUUGUGGACAGCUUGUGCUAUAUGUUCUGAAGGGUAUUCUUCCAAUAUGAUAGCGCUUUGCAGCCUGUGCUCAUUUUUAUUGCGUGUUUUCCUUGUGAUUUAUUCGUCUGAUGUCUGAUAUGUUCUGAAGGGUAUUCUUAGGCUCCUUAUUUUCUUUUGACCGAUGUCUUGCUUCUGGGGCAGCAUUGCACAUCAUUCUCCUCCUUUAUUUAUUUUGCUUUGUACUUUGCUGUGGUGUUGAACUGCCGCUGUUGGAUGAACAGGAGGUUUGGCCGGGAACAUGGCCUUGUCUUGCUUGAGGAGGAGGGACGAACCAAGGCACCGGCCCUGUCCCGCAACAAGGGGUCUGCUCCUCUACUUCCAAGGUAACCAAGUUGCCCUCUCUGAGCUUGAUGAGUUCAGCCCGGCCACGACCACGCACCGCUCCCAGCAGGUAGCACCUCCCUCUCCCUCUGCACACUCACUUGCUGCUAAUCUACCUAUACGGGCUUAUGCUAUUGUAAUUUCAUAAUGGUUGAUGUUUGUUAGCUUGUUAAACGGCUUGCUUUCUGCUAAUGGCCCAUUAGGUAGAGCAGCUAUGCACCUGGUGGUGGUCAUGGCCUUGCUGCUUCAUCAGUUUUUUCCUUUGGGUCAUUUGCAAGAAAGAAUUUUUGUCUUUGUUUUCAUUUCCUUGCUCUAGUCAAAUUCAUCGUUUUUUAAUACUAGCACUAGCACAUCAGAGUACUAAUACUUGCUAGAUUUUGAGUAUGCCACUGCUGCUAAAACAACAACAGCAACUUGAACAUCAACCAAGUUGCUGCACUCAAUUAAAUUAGCCUACCGACUAAUCUAGUACGUUAUUAAUUGUUGCUCUUCCAUUGUUUUGGUAUCUCUUGGUUUGCAAUGGUACAGCUAUAUGAUGAAUACACAUCAUGAUAUAUACUUGAUGAAUCUUCCUCCUACAUCUCAACUUGUGUAUCUGUUUUGGUAUCUCUUGCACCGUGUAUCUGUUUUCUUGUAUGAGUGGGUAUCUCAUUUUAACUAGUUGGAGAACAAAAAGCAUGGUACUAGCUAGCUCAAUUUGUGUUAUCAUUCUAAAUAAAUGUCAUUUUCUUGAAUGGUCUGUUCAUAAUAUAUUUUCAUGUCAAGUUUCACCAGCGCGAGGCAAGCGACCGAGGUGGCUGCUGCUGUGACCGAAGAUCAGAAGAAGCUUGGAGAUGUGCACAAUAGUUUUGGUGCCUCUGUAUUUGUUUCUGAUUGUAUGUACACUUGAUGGAUCAUGCAGAUGUGCUAUUCUGAGUUUCAUAGAGUGAUUUUUGGAUUUGAUCAUUUAAUUGUGAGAAUUAUUAAUUGUUUGCUGUUGAAAUGUGUAAAAUUGAAAUCUGUGAAUGACAAAGGCUGAAUGUUCGUCUAUUGGAUCGAAUAAUAUUUGUGCUCUAAAAAGGCUAUGGCCCAAACAAUAGUGGACUGGAAUAUUGUGCAUUUAUGAAAAACAAAAAC
Molecule: long non-coding RNA, 32639 nt
Filed under: Triticum aestivum (bread wheat)
Lineage: Eukaryota; Viridiplantae; Streptophyta; Magnoliopsida; Poales; Poaceae
Description: long non-coding RNA (TAES_LNC025198)
Source: RNAcentral